GGCCUCGUAGCUCAGCUGGUAGAGUGUGCGAGUACAAAGUGUAGGUGGCGUCCAUGCGUGGGUUCGAAUCCCACCGAGGCUA
Echinostoma caproni is the source of this 82-nucleotide non-coding RNA. The record is from Rfam. Lineage: Eukaryota; Metazoa; Platyhelminthes; Trematoda; Plagiorchiida; Echinostomatidae.